This 6353-nucleotide long non-coding RNA is filed under the name Capsicum annuum. Its description in RNAcentral is "long non-coding RNA (CANN_LNC010739)". Lineage: Eukaryota; Viridiplantae; Streptophyta; Magnoliopsida; Solanales; Solanaceae. The record is from RNAcentral.
CACACCAAUAAGAGUUUUCAAGAACAUGAAGUCAAGUGGUCUACCAUACCCAAAUAACCAACCUAUGAGGGUGUAUGCAAGUCUAUGGAAUGCAGAUGAUUGGGCAACAAGAGGUGGACUUGUUAAAACUGAUUGGUCCAAAGCACCAUUCAUAGCCUCACUUAGAAAUUUCAAAGCCAAUGAUGCAUGUGUUUGGGAAUUUGGAAAAUCAUCAUGCACAAAUUCAACAAUGCCAAAAUGGUUCUCUCAACAACUUGAUUCAACAAGUCAAGCUAGGUUACAAUGGGUGCAAAAGAACUAUAUGGUUUAUAAUUAUUGUAAUGAUAUUAAGAGGUUCCCUCAAGGUCUUCCUCUCGAAUGCACUUUCAACUCUACGACCGGUUAAAACUGCCUUAUUCUAAGUGUUUAAUCCUUUAAAAAUGUAUUAUUUUUGGAGGAUAAGAUAUUUGACCGUCAAUAUUUUUGAAGAAUCUGAUCAGCAACAUUUAUUAGUUCAUAGGUAUUGUUAAUUAAUUAUCAUAUUCCUCUUGUAAUUUAUGAGAUUCAUUUUUAUAGACGAUAAAUUUUGGAAUAGGAUCAUGUAAUAAGAUGUAAUGUUACACGAAUGUGACAAUUGCAGUGCAUAUAGCAAUUCUUUUGCCUUUUUUUUUCUUUGAGAGUUUUGUAAUAAAUGAAGUUUGAUUCAGAUUUUGUUUGACAUAUGUUGCUUUAAUAGGUAAACAAUAAUACCAUUAAAAUUUAAGGUAGGGUAUAAAUAGCAUUAUAAUUUUAAGAUAAUUAAUUUCAAAAUAGUUAAUAAAUUGUCUUAACCAGGUAGGGUCGACCCAAAUAAAUCGGUGGUCUAAGGCGAAAAUCAAACAGAGGCCUUAAAUUUUCAAGAUUUUUUUUUAUUUUAUACAAUUUAUAUUUUAAAUCUCGAUAUGCAAAGUUGUAAUUAUUAUAGUCGAUUUUUUAUAAUAAUUUUUUUCAUUAAUAUAAAUAAUGUAUUUGAUCUUUCUUGAGACAUAUUUUAAAUACAUCAAAAUUCUUCUAUAAUUCUUUACUUUUAUAUAGUGCAUCCAUGUUUGACACACUUGUACUUAAAGUUAUCUGAACUGCAACUUGUGGAUGCCAGGUUGUAUUCUUGUUUGUGGAAGAGUCCAAGGAUGUUCAAAACUUCUUGUCACCUUUAUAGGGUUGGACAAUUUGAAGUAUCUUGUGGGACUCUUGGGAGCAUGCUUGAUAUCAUGGGUAUAGAGAAACAAUUGUGCCUUAUGGUUCCUAGGAUAAAGGUAAUCUUACCUUUUGUAUCUAGUGAUGCCAUUACAAUCAUGGUGGCUUCCUUACCUCUUGAUUAAAACAAAGGAUGUUUGGUUAUAUCUCAAGUGUGUACCACCUUGGCAUGAUGAUGUUGUUUGUUGUACAAACCCUAACCCUCGUGCCACGAGAAUUUUGUACUUGUUUUGCCCUUUCUUUGUUCUUGCAAAGUGUAGAUUCGAGGUCCUUUUCAAGAAGGGGAGGAUGAUACGAGCCAAAUGACCAUCCUAGCUUUGGAAGACAUCAUUCGAGGCCAACACAUGAAGGAUCCGAUUGUGGUCGCAUUGAGGGGAAGAGAGCAUGCAUAGAGAGGCCAUUUCGAGCAUUCCAUGAGGCAAAGUCGCAUAUGGAAGGUGGCUUGGGGGAUGCUUGAAGAACCACGACCAUGGAGCAUUCAAAAGCACCUUCAUUAAGGGUUUUUAGGGAUUUCGCAUGCCCAAUUUACACUCCAUAGGCAUCCACCCUUCAUUAAGAGUAUUUUGGUCUUUUGUCCUUCAAUUAUAAUAAGACUAUAUAUAGUUUAGUAUUAGGGCUUUUACUCCUUGGUUGUUUAUUGAUGUAAGACUUUGAAACAUUGUAACAAACUCUCUCUAGUGUGAGGAGUGUAACACCUUUAGUUGUAGGGCUUGGAAUAGCCACCAAACCGAAAUGAGGGCACCAAGUGUGAAUAUCGUUUGUGUUGCAAUCGUUGGCUUGAAACAUUGGUGCUAGAGGAGGUAACGUCCCUCUUGUGUCUACGUAGGAGAUUGGUGAUAGUUUGUGUAGAUUGUAAGAAUCCUUAGGUUUGAUACAUCUUAGGGUUCUUGGAGUUUAUACACUCAUUUGUCAAUCUAUCUAUCCUUUAAUAUAUUGCAUUUCGUUUCUUGUUGUGUUUGUGCCCUUGUUUCCGUCUUUGUGUUCUUCUUGUUCUAGCCGAUCGAGUUUGUGGACUUUUUGGGUGCUUGUUGGACCGUUUGGUAUUAUGGCCUAACCGUAGUCAUGCCAAGACUGUCGUAACAUGAUCAAGAGGAUGAGUCUCAUGUGAUGCUCAUACGAGAAAUUCCCACGAUCGUACAUCGAUCAUACGAUCGUAUUAUCUGAUCGUGAAAAGGGUGAUAAGCAAAACUUAACCAGUAAAAAUGAACCAAGGGAGUAUUAUUCAUUGGUUAUUAGAAUUUUCUAAGUGAGCCAAUAGAAUUCCCUAGAGUUUUCGCCCUCCCACUUGCAUAUAUAUCCCCCAUAGAAAUGAUCAAUUAUAUUAACAAAUGUAGAAAAAAAAAAUUAUAUCAGCCCUCUAAAUUAAUAUUUAUCUAAUUAUAAACUUUUAUUUAUAUUAUCGUUGUAUAGAAAUUGAACAUUACCCCGAUAUAUAUAUAUAUAUAUUGCUUUAAAAGAACUUAUCUUCAAAUCAAAGUAUCCCUUAGUUUUUUACUAUCCCCUUCAAUUUCAUCAUCGAUGAACUACUUAACAACUACAAUUUGACAUUUUAAAAGUAAAGCUUAUCACUUAAUAUGACACAAGAAGAGGGGUUAAAAGUUAAAACUUACUGCAAAAACCGAACCGAUCGAUAAAUCGAACCGAUAAAAAUGUUAUUGGGUUAUCGGGUUAACAGUUUUUUAUUGGUUUUAUAAAAAAAUUUAUUGGGUAAACGGUUCGGUAUUGGUUUUAGCUUAUUGAGUUAAGAAUACACUAAGUUAUUGUUUUAUCCCUAUUUAUGUUAUAUAUUUAAAUAUCUCUCUCUUUAUCUAUAUAUAUAGAAAGAGAUGUGUAUGUAUAUAGAUUAUAUGCAUUACUAAUUCAUAAUUCAGUGAUUCACAAAGUAUUAACCUAUUCAGGGCAAUAGAGGCACAAUAUAAAGUACGGCUAUUAUCGUAAUAAAAAGCUUGUAGCAUUUAUAGCUUCCAACAAUUAGGAUUUAAUUUUUUUCCUAACUAACAUUCAGUUCAAAUUUGAAGAUUAUUGUAAACUAAAAUGCAUUCCGUAGGUUUUGACGGUAAUUAAGAUUUCAUUUUUUUAUGUUAGUUGUUACUAUUUCUAUUAUAUAAGUAUUUUCUUAUUGGUUAAACCGAACUGUUAAGGACCAAAAAUCGAUAAAUCGAAACCGACAAGAAAAUAUCUUAUUGGUUGGUUAUUGGCUUUACAUAUUUAAAAAACAAAAAUCGAUAAACCGAACCAACACAUAAAAUCGAACCAAACCGAUCGAUGCACACCCCUAACUUACACGAAUUUGGUGUAUACAUCAAAUCAAUAUGUGUAUGUCAUAUAUUUAAAUUUAAAAUUUAUGAAAUUUAUUCAUGAUUAAUUAGUAUUUAUUUAAUUUAAUUAUUUAAUUAUAAUAAAAAUAUUAAUUUAAUAUAUACAUCGAAUGUGUGUAAGUUUUUAUUCUUUUCUAAGAUAAUUAAAAAAGGUUUAAACCGUGUUACUUGAAUUAGAAAUUAGAAAUUUGUUUUCAUGAUGAUGUGUAUAUAAUGAUACUGAACUUUACCAUAAAAUUAAGCCACGUCAGAUUCAUAGGGCCCACCCAUAAAGUAUUUGCCAGCUGUCGUACUCCAUUACCAAAAUGGUCCCUCCAAUUUCUAAGAACUUUGUUUUUGGUCCUAACAACUUUUCAUCCCUGUAUAUAGUAACCUAUGUAUACAAAGUUACAUACAACCUUUGACUUGAGAAAAACAAACACUAAAUAUUGAACCAAUUCAUGGAUUCUUCAUUAACUCAAUGUUUGUUCUUUCUUGUCUUAUGCUCUUUGCAUUAUAGUUUGGUUAAUUCUAACAAUUUUAAUCAAGAUUUUGAUGUUACAUGGGGUAAUGAUAGGGUAAAAGUUUUAAACAAUGGGGAACUCCUUACCCUCUCACUUGACAAAGCCUCUGGUUGUGGUGUUCAAUCCAAGAACGAGUUUUUGUUUGGAAGCUUCGAUAUGCAGCUUAAACUCGUGCCUGGAAAUUCAGCUGGUACAGUUACUACAUACUAUGUAAGUAUUAUGUCUAAAGUUUGACUUUUGUUAAUUUUUUUAAUUAUUAUAUUAUGCUUACUAGUGAUGCGUCAUAUAUUUAAUGCAUAAACCAUACAUAAAUGUGUCUUUUAAUUUGGCUUCAACUUUCAUGUAUGCCGUUUAUCUUUGUGUGUGCAUAAGCAGGCAGUUAAACUUGUAUAAAGUUAAACAAAUAGAUGUAUGUAUUCUAUGUGACAUCCUACGUGGCUAAUUCAUGACCUACAUGGCGUCCUACGUGUAUUAUGCCACAUAGAUGCUUGUGUCUACUUGUUCAAUUUUAUAAAAUUUUAAGUGUGUACUUGUACACAUUCAAAGUUGGAGGUUAUAGAUAUAUACUGAGGCAGGGGCAGCGGAGCUACCCUUUGACGAGGUGUUCAUCUGAACUUCCUUCGGUAGAAAAUUAUACUAUUUAUAUAUUAUUAAAAUUAGUGUUUGUGUUUAUAUAGUAGAUGUUGAACCCCCUCUAAGUUAUCCACAUGCUAUCUCUGAACCCCUUAGUGAAAAUCUUGACUCAGCCACUGACUUCGGCCAUCAAAAUUAAAGAUAUGCUAACAUAUUAUUUAACUAAUUCAUAUGUUUUUGUUAAUAUGAAUUUUGUAUGUAGUUAUCAUCAUCACGAGAUCGAGGGUCAACAAGUGAUUGUAUGAGAUUUGAAUUGUUGGGAAACCUUAUUGGAGAUCCAUAUAUUGUUCAUACAAAUGUGUAUACACAAGGCAAAGGUGACAAAGAACAACAAUUCUACUUAUGGUUUGAUCCCACUCAAGAUUUUCAUACAUACUCCAUUCUUUGGAAUCCACAAAUAAUUAUGUAAGUGCUCUCUAUAUAUAUAUAUAAAAUCCCAACCUCUAUUCGCUUUUAUUUGUCACAAAUUUUCUGAUUGUAUUUCUACUUUUACUUGUCAGUUUUAACAUAUCAAGAAAAAACUUCUUUUUUCCUAUUCUAUUUUUGACAUUAAUUGCUUUUUCUUCAAAUUAAUUUCAGCACAUAAUGUAAACAUCAUUUAAUAAGAAUAUUAUUGUAAAAUAGUUAUAUUAUUACUUAUUUUCUUAAUUAGCGUAACAGGAUAAAAUGUGACAAGUAAAAGCGAAUGGAGAAAAUAUGAAUAUCUCACUCUUGUUUUUUCCCCCCUAAAAUUCUAAGAAGUUCUCUAUCUUAAUCUUGACUUUGUCUUUUUGAUAUUUCCGAUUAAAAUGACCAAUAUUAUAAUAUACCUUGAUCUAUUUUAAUUGUCAUUUUAGUUAAAUAAAUAAAUUUGAUUUUAAAUAAGUAUCGUUUUAAAAAAAUUAAGAAGAUAUUUAAAAAAAAAAAUAUUGUGAAUAACGUUCAAAAUAUUAACGAGAAAAGUAGAAACACGAUGAAAAAUUGAUACACACACACACACACACACACAUAUAUAUAUAUAUAUUAUUAAAAGACUAGUCUGAUAGUGAGGGAAUUCAUUUAGACCAUAAAUCCAUUAGUAUUUUUCUAUUUUUUAUUUUUUUAAUAUGAGACAAUUGUACAUAACAAUCGCCAACGCUUGAGAACCGAUGACCUUGUUGGUCACGGCUAACACUCCCCUCUUAGGUCCAGGCCACCACUCUUGGUACACAAUUCAUCACUCCGAGUCGCGGCUCCACACGUGAGUUGAUCCUUGUUGGUCACGACUGGGCCCAGUUGAUCACGACUGACACCCUCUUAGGUCCAGACCACCACUACUGACACACAAGCCAUCACUUUGAGUUACGACCCUACGCGUGGGACUCUUAAUGAAAACACCAAUGUUAUAAAUCAAACGAAAGCGCCCAAUCCAAAAUACUAAUCUGAUUCAAGAAUUGACAACAUUAUGUAUGUUUCUUUGUUUUUUACUAUUUUUUUUUUUGUAGAUUUUAUGUGGAUGGCACACCAAUAAGAGUUUUCAAGAACAUGAAGUCUAGUGGUCUACCAUACCCAAAUAACCAACCUAUGAGGGUGUAUGCAAGUCUAUGGAAUGCAGAUGAUUGGGCAACAAGAGGUGGACUUGUGAAAACUGAUUGGUCCAAAGCACCAUUCAUAGCCUCACUUAGAAAUUUCAAAGCCAAUGAUGCAUGUGUUUGGGAAUUUGGAAAAU